Long non-coding RNA from Hemicordylus capensis (graceful crag lizard), 636 nucleotides. RefSeq lists it as uncharacterized. Lineage: Eukaryota; Metazoa; Chordata; Lepidosauria; Squamata; Cordylidae. The record is from RefSeq and is a predicted model, not a curated record. The transcript has 3 exons.
GGUAAGCGUUCGUAGGAUUUCGGCUUUAAAAAGUGCUUAACUGUGACUGCGGCAUGUUUCAGGAUCUAGCUCCGAACGGUUUUGACGAUGCCCCUCCGAAACAUGCUAACCUGCCAUUGAUUUUCAGACGAAUUUAUUUCCGCGUCAGGCUGUCUCGGGCUUGCAGAUGGGACGCAUCAUGGAAGUGGGGAUUUGAACCCCCUGCUGCAGUACUCGAUCGGUCUCGGAGAUCUUGCUCUCUUCCUCCGCUUGUUGACGUUUGUUUAGGCCCGGCCAGGCAGUGGAAGCUCAAACAAAUAGUUCCCGUCUUUAAACAACUCCAAGUGGCUGGCAGGAACACGCGCGAUCUGAGCCUCCCAGCAUAUAAAUAAUACGACCACGCGCUGCCGCAGGAUCGCCUCGCCCUCCUCCUCGGUGCUGAUCUCUCCUCCUUUCCACCAUUUGAGUGACCAACUCCCAUGAUUCAAGAAACGAAGAAGUGAGAAACAGGAGUAUGGCUGUCUUCCAGUAGCAAGAUCUAUUGGCUCUUAACCUGUCAUGAGCUAGAUUGUGUAUGGGGAGCUUUGGGAGUAUGCCCCCUCUCCCAGCAAUGCUACGUGUUGGAGAAGGGGAUAACAGUUGCAUUUUAAGCACAUU